This 85-nucleotide transfer RNA is filed under the name Felis catus (domestic cat). It matches the Rfam family "tRNA". From Rfam's summary of the family: Transfer RNA (tRNA) molecules are approximately 80 nucleotides in length. Their secondary structure includes four short double-helical elements and three loops (D, anti-codon, and T loops). The record is from Rfam by way of RNAcentral. RNAcentral also lists the same sequence under 2 other names. Lineage: Eukaryota; Metazoa; Chordata; Mammalia; Carnivora; Felidae.
GCCUGGGUAGCUCAGCUGGUUAAGCAUCUGACUUCAGCUUAGGUUGUGAUCACGCAGUUUGUGGGUUCGAGCCCCGCAUCGGGCU